RNAcentral lists this ribosomal RNA (422 nucleotides) under uncultured bacterium. RNAcentral's name for it is "partial 16S ribosomal RNA". It matches the Rfam family "Bacterial small subunit ribosomal RNA", at positions 355 to 774 of the family's 1533-position model. The record is from RNAcentral.
UGAGGAAUAUUGGUCAAUGGGUGCAAGCCUGAACCAGCCAUCCCGCGUGAAGGACGACUGCCCUAUGGGUUGUAAACUUCUUUUGUAUAGGGAUAAACCUACCCUCGUGAGGGUAGCUGAAGGUACUAUACGAAUAAGCACCGGCUAACUCCGUGCCAGCAGCCGCGGCAAUACGGAGGGUGCAAGCGUUAUCCGGAUUUAUUGGGUUUAAAGGGUCCGUAGGCGGACUUAUAAGUCAGUGGUGAAAGCCUGUCGCUUAACGAUAGAACUGCCAUUGAUACUGUAAGUCUUGAGUAUAUUUGAGGUAGCUGGAAUAAGUAGUGUAGCGGUGAAAUGCAUAGAUAUUACUUAGAACACCAAUUGCGAAGGCAGGUUACCAAGAUAUAACUGACGCUGAGGGACGAAAGCGUGGGGAGCGAACA